This 467-nucleotide ribosomal RNA is filed under the name uncultured bacterium. RNAcentral describes it as "partial 16S ribosomal RNA". It matches the Rfam family "Bacterial small subunit ribosomal RNA", at positions 28 to 507 of the family's 1533-position model. The record is from RNAcentral.
GACGAACGCUGGCGGCGUGCUUAACACAUGCAAGUCGAACGGAAAGGCCUCUUUCGGGGGGUAACCGAGUGGCGAACGGGUGAGUAACACGUGAGUAACCUGCCCUUGACUUUGGGAUAACUUCAGGAAACUGGGGCUAAUACAGGAUAGGAGCUACUGCUGCAUGGUGGGGGUUGGAAAGUUUCGGCGGUUGGGGAUGGACUCGCGGCUUAUCAGCUUGUUGGUGGGGUAGUGGCUUACCAAGGCUUUGACGGGUAGUCGUCCUGAGAGGGUGACCGGCCACAUUGGGACUGCGAUACGGCCCAGACUCCUACGGGAGGCAGCAGUGGGGAAUAUUGCACAAUGGGUGGACGCCUGAUGCAGCAACGCCGUGUGCGGGAUGACGGCCUUCGGGUUGUAAACCGCUUUCGCUCAUGACGAAGCUUUGUGUGACGGUAGUGGGUAAAGAAGCACCGGCUAACUACGUG